RNAcentral lists this unclassified non-coding RNA (331 nucleotides) under soil metagenome. RNAcentral's name for it is "partial contains 5.8S ribosomal RNA, internal transcribed spacer 2, and large subunit ribosomal RNA". The stretch from base 1 to 120 matches the Rfam family "5.8S ribosomal RNA", at positions 35 to 154 of the family's 154-position model. The record is from RNAcentral.
GAUGAAGAACGCAGCGAAAUGCGAUAAGUAAUGUGAAUUGCAGAAUUCAGUGAAUCAUCGAAUCUUUGAACGCACAUUGCGCCCCUUGGUAUUCCGAGGGGCAUGCCUGUUCGAGCGUCAUUUCAACCCUCAAGCUCUGCUUGGUCUUGGGCCUGGCCGUGAUGGCCGGUCUUAAAAUCAGUGGCGGUGCCGUCGCAGGCUCCAAGCGUAGUACAUCUCUCGCUCUGGAAACUUGGCGGUGCCUGCCAGACAACCCCUAAUUGUCUCUUUCGGUUGACCUCGGAUCAGGUAGGGAUACCCGCUGAACUUAAGCAUAUCAAUAAGCGGAGGA